CUCUAUGGCCAUACUAUCCUGAAUGUGCCAUAUUUCAUCUGAUCUUGGGAGCUAAGCAAGGUCGGGCCUGGUCAUUACUCAGAUGGAAGACAUACCAAACUCAACGCCUUGAGC
This 114-nucleotide ribosomal RNA is filed under the name Peromyscus maniculatus bairdii (prairie deer mouse). Lineage: Eukaryota; Metazoa; Chordata; Mammalia; Rodentia; Cricetidae. The record is from RNAcentral.